Molecule: ribosomal RNA, 244 nt
Filed under: uncultured bacterium
Lineage: Bacteria
Description: partial 16S ribosomal RNA
Rfam family: Bacterial small subunit ribosomal RNA
Source: RNAcentral
UGGGUUUGACAUAUAGGUAGUAGUGAACUGAAAAGGGAACGACCUUCGGGAGCCUAUACAGGUGCUGCAUGGCUGUCGUCAGCUCGUGCCGUGAGGUGUUCGGUUAAGUCCGCAAACGAGCGCAACCCCCGGUGCUAGUUACACGUGUCUAGCGCGACUGCCCGUGAGAAACGGGAGGAAGGUGGGGAUGACGUCAAGUCAGCAUGGCCUUUAUAUCCAGGGCUACACACACGCUACAAUGGGG